UACGAAGGGGGCUAGCGUUGCUCGGAAUCACUGGGCGUAAAGGGUGCGUAGGCGGGUCUUUAAGUCAGGGGUGAAAUCCUGGAGCUCAACUCCAGAACUGCCUUUGAUACUGAGGAUCUUGAGUUCGGGAGAGGUGAGUGGAACUCCGAGUGUAGAGGUGAAAUUCGUAGAUAUUCGGAAGAACACCAGUGGCGAAGGCGG
RNAcentral lists this ribosomal RNA (201 nucleotides) under uncultured bacterium. Its description in RNAcentral is "partial 16S ribosomal RNA". It matches the Rfam family "Bacterial small subunit ribosomal RNA", at positions 524 to 724 of the family's 1533-position model. The record is from RNAcentral.